UACGUAGGGGGCAAGCGUUGUCCGGAAUCAUUGGGCGUAAAGAGCGUGUAGGCGGCCCGGUAAGUCCGCCGUGAAAGUCCAGGGCUCAACCCUGGAAUGCCGGUGGAAACUGCCGGGCUGGAGUCCGGAAGAGGCGAGUGGAAUUCCUGGUGUAGCGGUGAAAUGCGCAGAUAUCAGGAGGAACACCAGUGGCGAAGGCGGCUUCCUGGCCUGUAACUGACGCUGAGACGCGAAAGCGCGGGGAGCGAACCGG
Molecule: ribosomal RNA, 253 nt
Filed under: uncultured bacterium
Lineage: Bacteria
Description: partial 16S ribosomal RNA
Rfam family: Bacterial small subunit ribosomal RNA
Source: RNAcentral